ACUCCUACGGGAGGCAGCAGUGGGGAAUAUUGGACAAUGGGGGCAACCCUGAUCCAGCCAUGCCGCGUGAGUGAAGAAGGCCCUAGGGUCGUAAAGCUCUUUCAACUGUGAAGAUAAUGACGGUGAGCAGUAGAACCGAACCCGCAUACUCCGUGCCAGCAGCCGCGGUAAUACGGAGGGGUUAGCGUUGUUCGGAAUUACUGGGCGUAAAGCGCACGUAGGCGGACUAUUAAGUUAGAGGUGAAAUCCCAGGGCUCAACCCUGGAACUGCCUUUAAUACUGGUAGUCUUGAGUUCGAGAGAGGUGAGUGGAAUUCCGAGUGUAGAGGUGAAAUUCGUAGAUAUUCGGAGGAACACCAGUGGCGAAGGCGGCUCACUGGCUCGAUACUGACGCUGAGGUGCGAAAGUGUGGGGAGCAAACAGGAUUAGAUACCCUGGUAGCUACGAG
RNAcentral lists this ribosomal RNA (447 nucleotides) under uncultured bacterium. RNAcentral's name for it is "bacterial SSU rRNA". It matches the Rfam family "Bacterial small subunit ribosomal RNA", at positions 335 to 801 of the family's 1533-position model. The record is from RNAcentral.